Molecule: ribosomal RNA, 792 nt
Filed under: Triticum aestivum (bread wheat)
Lineage: Eukaryota; Viridiplantae; Streptophyta; Magnoliopsida; Poales; Poaceae
Description: partial small subunit ribosomal RNA
Source: RNAcentral
GGAUCACGGUUCUUUGCUGAUGAUCACUCACACUAUGAUCUGUUUGGUAAAAGAAGGCCAGGUGACGAAGAGUUCAGGAAAGCUUGGCAGGAGAAUGUUGACGAGGAGGACUGCCUAUGGACUGCCAGUGAGGACGAGGAUGAAGAGAAGGAGAAUGAUACAAAAAUGGAGAGGGAAAUCAAAAAAGUGAAGAAGCAAGCCAAGGAGAAUGCAAACCUCAUUGAUGGUGAUGACAGUGAUGAGUUAAGAAGCAUAUGUCCUGAGAGCGAUGAAGACGAUAUGACUCUCUGGAGUGGCAGUGAAGAGGACGAUGACAAUGAUAUCCCUACCGAGCCACAUCCCAAUGAACGCAGUGAUUCAUAUAUAGAUAAGGUGUUUGAAUUUGAUGAGACGCCUAAAUAUCGCACAAUCUCUGAGCUGUUAAAAGCCGAGAAGGAACCACCAGAGCUCUCUCCAGGAAAGCAAGCAAGAAAACUUGCUGUCGAAAAUGCUCUCAAGAAAUUGAAAAAAGGACCUGAUGGACGCUACAUUAACGUAUUUGAUGUUGUCACUGAUAUAGAUAUCCUGAUUGGAGCAUUUGAGAACAUUGUUUCAGGACCAGAGUAUGCAGAGCUGCGGGAGGGUGGACCAAAGAAGCUCAAUAUCCAGUUCUUCAAGGAUAUACAAGCACGCAUGAGAGAUCCAAAUUUCAAUUUUUCUCCAGAGUUAAAGUUGAAGCCUAAGAGUAAAUUAGUGCCUAAGAAGAAAUGGCAGAAAGCACAAUCGAGGAAGAGGAAAAAUGACAAACGUUGA